GGGCGACGGUUGUCCCGGUUUAAGCGUGUAGGCUGGUUUUCCAGGCAAAUCCGGAAAAUCAAGGCUGAGGCGUGAUGACGAGGCACUACGGUGCUGAAGCGACAAAUGCCCUGCUUCCAGGAAAAGCCUCUAAGCAUCAGGUAACAUCAAAUCGUACCCCAAACCGACACAGGUGGUCAGGUAGAGAAUACCAAGGCGCUUGAGAGAACUCGGGUGAAGGAACUAGGCAAAAUGGUGCCGUAACUUCGGGAGAAGGCACGCUGAUAUGUAGGUGAAGCGACUUGCUCGUGGAGCUGAAAUCAGUCGAAGAUACCAGCUGGCUGCAACUGUUUAUUAAAAACACAGCACUGUGCAAACACGAAAGUGGACGUAUACGGUGUGACGCCUGCCCGGUGCCGGAAGGUUAAUUGAUGGGGUUAGCGGUAACGCGAAGCUCUUGAUCGAAGCCCCGGUAAACGGCGGCCGUAACUAUAACGGUCCUAAGGUAGCGAAAUUCCUUGUCGGGUAAGUUCCGACCUGCACGAAUGGCGUAAUGAUGGCCAGGCUGUCUCCACCCGAGACUCAGUGAAAUUGAACUCGCUGUGAAGAUGCAGUGUACCCGCGGCAAGACGGAAAGACCCCGUGAACCUUUACUAUAGCUUGACACUGAACAUUGAGCCUUGAUGUGUAGGAUAGGUGGGAGGCUUUGAAGUGUGGACGCCAGUCUGCAUGGAGCCGACCUUGAAAUACCACCCUUUAAUGUUUGAUGUUCUAACGUGGGCCCCUUACCGGGGUUGCGGACAGUGUCUGGUGGGUAGUUUGACUGGGGCGGUCUCCUCCUAAAGAGUAACGGAGGAGCACGAAGGUUGGCUAAUCCUGGUCGGACAUCAGGAGGUUAGUGCAAUGGCAUAAGCCAGCUUGACUGCGAGCGUGACGGCGCGAGCAGGUGCGAAAGCAGGUCAUAGUGAUCCGGUGGUUCUGAAUGGAAGGGCCAUCGCUCAACGGAUAAAAGGUACUCCGGGGAUAACAGGCUGAUACCGCCCAAGAGUUCAUAUCGACGGCGGUGUUUGGCACCUCGAUGUCGGCUCAUCACAUCCUGGGGCUGAAGUAGGUCCCAAGGGUAUGGCUGUUCGCCAUUUAAAGUGGUACGCGAGCUGGGUUUAGAACGUCGUGAGACAGUUCGGUCCCUAUCUGCCGUGGGCGCUGGAGAACUGAGGGGGGCUGCUCCUAGUACGAGAGGACCGGAGUGGACGCAUCACUGGUGUUCGGGUUGUCAUGCCAAUGGCACUGCCCGGUAGCUAAAUGCGGAAGAGAUAAGUGCUGAAAGCAUCUAAGCACGAAACUUGCCCCGAGAUGAGUUCUCCCUGACUCCUUGAGAGUCCUGAAGGAACGUUGAAGACGACGACGUUGAUAGGCCGGGUGUGUAAGCGCAGCGAUGCGUUGAGCUAACCGGUACUAAUGAACCGUGAGGCUUAACCUU
RNAcentral lists this ribosomal RNA (1459 nucleotides) under Escherichia coli. RNAcentral's name for it is "partial 23S ribosomal RNA". It matches the Rfam family "Bacterial large subunit ribosomal RNA", at positions 1493 to 2925 of the family's 2925-position model. The record is from RNAcentral. Lineage: Bacteria; Pseudomonadati; Pseudomonadota; Gammaproteobacteria; Enterobacterales; Enterobacteriaceae.